This is a microRNA precursor of Homo sapiens (human), 77 nucleotides long. Lineage: Eukaryota; Metazoa; Chordata; Mammalia; Primates; Hominidae. The record is from Ensembl.
UGAUAGGGAAACCAGGCAAGAAAUAUUGUCUCCUCAAGUUGCGACGAGACAGUAGUUCUUGCCUGGUUUCUCUAUCA